UCCUACGGGGCGCAGCAGUGGGGAAUAUUGCACAAUGGGGGGAACCCUGAUGCAGCGACGCCGCGUGGGUGAAGGAGUACUUCGGUACGUAAAGCCCUAUCAGCAGGAAAGAAAAUGACGGUACCUGAUGAAUAAGCUCCGGCUAACUACGUGCCAGCAGCCGCGGUAAUACGUAGGGAGCAAGCGUUAUCCGGAUUUACUGGGUGUAAAGGGCGCGUAGGCGGGAUGGCAAGUCAGAUGUGAAAUCCGGGGGCUCAACCCCUGAACUGCAUUUGAAACUGUCGUUCUUGAGUACUGGAGAGGUU
This 305-nucleotide ribosomal RNA is filed under the name uncultured bacterium. Its description in RNAcentral is "bacterial SSU rRNA". It matches the Rfam family "Bacterial small subunit ribosomal RNA", at positions 337 to 659 of the family's 1533-position model. The record is from RNAcentral.